Long non-coding RNA from Zonotrichia leucophrys gambelii, 410 nucleotides. RefSeq lists it as uncharacterized. The record is from RefSeq and is a predicted model, not a curated record. The transcript has 3 exons. Lineage: Eukaryota; Metazoa; Chordata; Aves; Passeriformes; Passerellidae.
GUUCAGUGAGCUAUUUAAGGAAAAAGAUCACUGUGUAAAGCAAGAGGGAUAUUCAAAGAGAACAUAUUGAGAAAUAAAGAACUAAAAGCAAGGCAAAACCUUAAGUACUGGAGAUGGGCCUGGCACAGAGAAGAUGGGAAAGAAGAGAGAAGGAAUAAAAAGGAAAGAGGAUACAAUCUACCUCAGAGAUAAUUGGAAAGAGAAUCAUGUCAGAAUGCUGAAAAAAAGGAAACAGUGAGAGGCAAGCUCAGCUGACGGCUGGGGAAUGAAAAAGGAGCAAUUAUCCCUGUUUGCUGUGAAACUAGAUUAGUCUGGCUUUUCUAAGAAACUGGCAGUCCUCACCACCAGCCAGGACACUGCUUUGAUUUUCACUUGUGCACAGCUGCCUUUAAAAGUGACCUUGAUGGAAU